This 85-nucleotide transfer RNA is filed under the name Leptolyngbya sp. SIO1E4. RNAcentral's name for it is "tRNA-Ser". The record is from RNAcentral. Lineage: Bacteria; Bacillati; Cyanobacteriota; Cyanophyceae; Leptolyngbyales; Leptolyngbyaceae.
GAAGAGGGCUGUGAGAUCUGGUGUGGCAGACUCGAAAUCUAUUGAAGGGUCACACCUUCCGAGGGUUCGAAUCCCUCCCUCUCCG